RNAcentral lists this ribosomal RNA (252 nucleotides) under uncultured bacterium. Its description in RNAcentral is "partial 16S ribosomal RNA". It matches the Rfam family "Bacterial small subunit ribosomal RNA", at positions 524 to 776 of the family's 1533-position model. The record is from RNAcentral.
UACGGGGGGGCAAGCGUUGUUCGGAAUUACUGGGCGUAAAGGGUUCGUAGGCGGCCAACUAAGUCAUACGUGAAAUCCCUCAGCUUAACUGGGGAACUGCGUGUGAUACUGGAUGGCUUGGAUUUGGGAGAGGGAUGCGGAAUUCCUGGUGUAGCGGUGAAAUGCGCAGAUAUCAGGAGGAACACCGGUGGCGAAGGCGGGACUCUGGGCCGAUACUGACGCUGAGGAGCGAAAGCGUGGGGAGCAAACAGG